GGGGGCUUAUGAUGUGUCGCCACUACCUGGAGUCACUUUGUCGCCGUGACCAUUACCAUUGCCUAACAAGGUGACUUUCCUAUUGCACAUCACAAUUUCUGGUGACACAUAUGUGAAGUUUGUUGCAGAUUUUUGAAGUGAAGGAAAAUAUGGACACAACCAACAUGCCGGUUACUUCACUUUCUCUAUUCCACCUUUUAUAAUUAGAAACUUUUUGUAGAGAUCUAUCCAUCUAUGGAAGGAUCAGAAUGAAUGGUAGAAGGAGGUGUUGUCCGCAUACAAUCAAAUAGAAGGGUCGAGAAUUGUUUUAUGGUCUUUUUGUUUGCGGGGGUCCUUUCCUUGUGGAUGCCUGUUCCAUGAUUUCUUUGCCUUUCGUCUUGCCCGCUGACUUGUUUAUGUUGCCUCUGUGUUCUGUCUUUGCAUGUUUGGCGCCUUGUUGGGAUUGUCGUGUCGGUUCGCUGUGGCUGCUCCCGUUCGUCUGUUGUCCGGUUACGUUCUUGGGUCAGGAUUAAAAUUUGUCGACAAUUCUUUUCGUCUAGCAAAUGCAUCCUACUUACUAAUGGUGGCCCAGAUUACUGUGUGUCCAUAAGCUAUGUUUGUAAGACCAGCCAAUGGGACUGCACCAGCUGCCAAUAAGUGUGUCGUUGCACCCGAUGAAUUGGUAUAUAGC
Non-coding RNA from Lolium perenne, 670 nucleotides. The record is from RefSeq and is a predicted model, not a curated record. NCBI's taxonomy places the organism in Eukaryota, Viridiplantae, Streptophyta, Magnoliopsida, Poales, Poaceae.